CCCUGUCUUGGGACUGGUGGGAGUUGGGAAUCCAACCACAGCUUGAGGGAAUGUUUGCUUGUUUGUUUUAAGUAAGUGAAAAAUGAGAUUGUGGAAAAGCUAUUAAGUUCUGCCUCAGAGACAGAAUUUCCACAAUGUACGGUAAUAUCAUAAGAUCUUCGAAUUUCCUCUCUAUAUAGUGUCUAAAUGUUGUAGUAUUCCAAAAUAGCUGGGAUUUAGUUUACAUUUCAGGAAAUACUUGUAGCUACAGAUGAAAAAUUACUAGGAGGAGAUGCGGCAUUUCUUUGCUGGGAUGAACAGUUAACCGGCGAAGUGACUGAGAUGUCAGGCUGCCAGUCUUUAAAAUUAUAUCUCUCUCACACCUAUGAUCAAAAUGGUUCUACUAAGGUCUAAGAAGCUACGAAGUUACCUGGGAUCCCAAUACAAAUAUCAUCUGUACGAUGGAAGACAAUCUUCACUCACCUCAUCCACGAACACUUUCCCCAGUGAAUUUCUGGCAUGUGGUCUGUUCAUCAGAAUUUCUGCAAUACCUGUACUCCAAAAUAAAAUAAAGAACUCUUUUUCACUUAUUGUU
Molecule: long non-coding RNA, 574 nt
Organism: Podarcis muralis (Common wall lizard)
Lineage: Eukaryota; Metazoa; Chordata; Lepidosauria; Squamata; Lacertidae
Source: RefSeq, a predicted model, not a curated record